GCCUCGAUAGUCUAAUUGGCUAGGACACUUGCGCGUAAAGCAGACGAUCCGGGUUCGACCCUCGGCCCAGGUA
This is a non-coding RNA of Cyphomyrmex costatus, 73 nucleotides long. The record is from Rfam. NCBI's taxonomy places the organism in Eukaryota, Metazoa, Arthropoda, Insecta, Hymenoptera, Formicidae.